AGCGCACACACACUUCUGUGCGUGUGGAACGGUCUCACCCAGACGACCCCCCUCCCCCAAAGGAAAUCGAGAUAUUCCUCUAGGGCUAGAGGGGACAACUGGUUUUGUGGGACAGGAGGAAGGAAAACGGCGACAGACAGCACUCCCUGUCACUUCUAAAAGAGAAGAGGGACAGGUUCCUUCACACCUAGCAAAGAUCCUCCGAUUCUGGAAGCAGGGGGAGCGGAACUUAGGGUACCUCUCUCCCACAACUAGAAUGGACAGGCCAGAGGACAGUCAUAGCGGUUUCCUUAAGGCUCACCAAAGGCAGCCGCUCCGGAUCCGGAUCUCCACCUCCGCCCCGCCCCUCAAUACUCCCAGGUGAUUGACAGUGCGGAGACCAAUGGGAGGCACUCUUGGCCGACCUACCCAGCGGCGCCGGGGCGUCUGUGAUUGGGAAGGUGAGGAAAGCGCUGCAGGAAGAGUUCUCUGCAGGAUGCUGGGUGAGAUCAAAGGGAGAGCUUCUGCCACCACCUCCUACUUGGUGUGUGCGGGGGCCGGCACAAAGACCAUCUCUGCCUCUGCCUUCCCCUGCUCCUAGCCAGGGUCAGCUCUUCUCUCUGACGCGGAAUACAGAGCUGGACAACCUCUGCCUCGGCCCUCUCCAUCCGUAAAUAAAGACUAGAACCACCCCCACUCUGCACUCUCCCCCUCUAUGGAUCAGGAAUAUUUGUUUUUUCUGCUCCUCUCAAUAUGGACUGGGCCCGCUCCUGAUUCCUCCCACCCUUACCUCUCAACACAAACCAGUACCUCCUCUUCUUUUGCAUCUCAUCCUCAAGGGACACUACUGAAAACCUGUGUGGAAUCAAAGCUCACCGGAGACAGCUGUGGCCAUUGUGCCUAUAACGCCAACACCAGGCAUAUCCUGGAGCCUCAGCUGGAGAAUUUACCUGUCUUGGACAACCUGCCACAAAACUGUGCCCACAUCUAGUUCCAUCUGGUCAUCAGGGCGUCUCUCUUUCUUACACCCAUAACACACAAUCCCCACUUCCGCGCCAGUGUUCAUGAGAAGUGAAAAGGAAGAGGGAAGAGAGGGCUUGUUGGGAGGACAGAGGGGAUGGGGCAGAGUGGGAUUCCUAGCAGGUUCUGGCUGGUGACAAGCUCUUCCCCCAGCCCCCUUGCCAUACCCAGUUCUGGAACAGUUCCUUAUACAGGAGGGAUGGGUAGUCCCCUAGGCCCACCUUUCCAAGGCUGGAGGUGGGCCAAAGCCAGGACUCUGUCCUUCCCACAUACUGUGUGCAUACAUGGCUGUGACUGGGGUGCAGGGGAGAGAAGGGGGUAUAAUAGGCCCAUAGUGACUAAUUAAGUUUCUUCCUCAACCCUGGGGCCCCUGGUGGUGUGAAUGUGGUGCCAAGUAGAUUGGCUGGUGCCUCUGCCCUUCCUAGAGAUAGCAACUGGGCCCUGGGGUACAACGAAGGUGAGGGUGGGGAGUGAUUGCUGUGUUGGCUCCUCCAAAGCCCUGGGGCUCUCAGAGUAACCCCCAGAAACACCCAGAGCCAAUAACUACAAAAAUAAAGAGUUUAUUUCCUAUCCAAAA
RNAcentral lists this long non-coding RNA (1576 nucleotides) under Homo sapiens (human). RNAcentral's name for it is "RAB5C antisense RNA 1, transcript variant 2 (RAB5C-AS1)". Lineage: Eukaryota; Metazoa; Chordata; Mammalia; Primates; Hominidae. The record is from RNAcentral.